GGUUGGUGCAAAAGUAAUUGCAGUUUUUGCCUUUAAACGCAAGGGCAAAACCCACAAUUACUUUUGCACCA
Molecule: microRNA precursor, 71 nt
Filed under: Colobus angolensis palliatus
Lineage: Eukaryota; Metazoa; Chordata; Mammalia; Primates; Cercopithecidae
Description: miRNA (ENSCANG00000008135.1)
Source: RNAcentral